UACAGAGGUGGCAAGCGUUGUUCGGAUUUAUUGGGCGUAAAGGGCGCGUAGGCGGCGGGGUAAGUCGGGUGUGAAAUCUCAGGGCUCAACCCUGAAACUGCACUUGAUACUGCUCUGCUUGAGGACUGGAGAGGAGACUGGAAUUCACGGUGUAGCAGUGAAAUGCGUAGAUAUCGUGAGGAAGACCAGUGGCGAAGGCGGGUCUCUGGACAGUUCCUGACGCUGAGGCGCGAAGGCCAGGGGAGCAAACGGG
This 253-nucleotide ribosomal RNA is filed under the name uncultured bacterium. RNAcentral describes it as "partial 16S ribosomal RNA". It matches the Rfam family "Bacterial small subunit ribosomal RNA", at positions 524 to 776 of the family's 1533-position model. The record is from RNAcentral.